CUGUCCUUGCUCCUCAUCCCUCUCAUCUCCUCCCUUCUCUCGUCCAAGCUGGGUGCCGCCGCCGCCUGUGGUGGCUGCAAAACCACCCUCAUCUUGGUUCUCUUCUCAAUUGGUAAAUUUACUUGAACUCUUUUGUCAAUUGUAUUUAAUUAAAAACCCACAAAUUGAAGAAACCCUAACUUUCUUCUUUAAUUUUCUCUCUCCUCUUGUCCGGUGCACCACCUUCUCCGUCGGAGUCAGGGGCUGCCGGAGCAGCUACCGCUGCUGCUACUGUUGUCAUUGCCGCUGCUGUUGUUCGAGUUGCUGCUGCUGCUAUUGUUGUUUUCGUUGUUGAUUAUUGAUUUGAUUUCCCUAUAUCUGAUCUCUAUUUUCCUUAAGGGGAUUGAUGGAGGAUGGUUUAAGAAGAUUUGAGUCAUGAAGUUAAGCGAACGAUGAUGAUCAAAUAUGUAGCUUUGGGAUUUAUGAAUGGUUAUUGAAGAGUUAAAGUGUUUUGCAGGUAGCAAGAGUUAGGUCUCAGUUCAGGUUCAAGGUUCGUAGAGUUCUCCGAUGGCCUUAUGUGUCCAAGGUUGGAGUAUGGAUUCGCCAAAUGUAAUUUAGUUCCUAGAGUUUGUUAAUGCGCUGUAUAAUUUCUUCUUAAAGAUUUUGGUUUAUAAUUUAUGGAUUACAUAUCUGUAUUGGAGUCUUAGCUAAGUUAAGUUUCUUUGGUUUAAAGUUAAGUGUGCUGAGAAGUAGCUUAUUAAGUGUGGGUUGUUGCAGUGACGCCUUGGUAAUGUUUUGGAAUAUGUUAUAUGUUGGAAUGAUGUAAUUGAAGCAGGUGAAAAAGGUUAUGACGUAUUAUCCUAA
Molecule: long non-coding RNA, 843 nt
Organism: Spinacia oleracea (spinach)
Lineage: Eukaryota; Viridiplantae; Streptophyta; Magnoliopsida; Caryophyllales; Amaranthaceae
Exons: 3
Source: RefSeq, a predicted model, not a curated record